RNAcentral lists this unclassified non-coding RNA (18 nucleotides) under Chlamydomonas reinhardtii. RNAcentral describes it as "small RNA Cre_1119". Lineage: Eukaryota; Viridiplantae; Chlorophyta; Chlorophyceae; Chlamydomonadales; Chlamydomonadaceae. The record is from RNAcentral.
CCGGGGCGUGGGGAGGGG